CAGUCGCCGCGGUAAUACGUAGGUGGCAAGCGUUGUCCGGAAUUAUUGGGCGUAAAGGGCUCGCAGGCGGUUUCUUAAGUCUGAUGUGAAAGCCCCCGGCUCAACCGGGGAGGGUCAUUAGAAACUGGGAAACUUGAGUGCAGAAGAGGAGAGUGGAAUUCCACGUGUAGCGGUGAAAUGCGUAGAGAUGUGGAGGAACACCAGUGGCGAAGGCGACUCUCUGGUCUGUAACUGACGCUGAGGAGCGAAAGCGUGGGGAGCGAACAGGAUUAGAUACCCCGGUAGUCCCUGUCUCUUAUAC
This 301-nucleotide ribosomal RNA is filed under the name uncultured bacterium. Its description in RNAcentral is "partial 16S ribosomal RNA". It matches the Rfam family "Bacterial small subunit ribosomal RNA", at positions 509 to 807 of the family's 1533-position model. The record is from RNAcentral.